UGUGAGCAGGAAAUGCUUUUAUUUUGAAGCUCACUUUUGAGGAAGUGUCUUGCGUGUAUUGGCGGUAGUUGAAGAAAUGAAUCUCGGUGAUGAGAUGCCGAUGUGGGUUUGUUUACAUUGCAUUUUUACCCUUUUCUCCAUGUAAUGCUGCAGCAUAUGUUCAGUAAAAGUUCACAAAGACAGAUACGUCGUGGUCAUUAAUUGAAGCUUCCGUGACACUACAACCACGUACUCUGGUGGGUCUGGCAUUUUCAUUGUUUUGUCAGCAGUUCGGGAUAUGGGAGUGGAAGCUUGAGGCUGGCAUGGUGGCAUGACUCUAGGCGAGGGUAUAAUCUCACUUCCACUACAAGUGCUGGCAUCUUGGUCAGUAGUACUUUGGAUGGAGAACGACCUCCACAUCCCACUCUUUGGGGCAGGAAAAUUUUGGUGUGUCGGUUUUUGCCAGCCAUAUCAUUCCUGCCACAACCAGCACUGUGGAAAUAUCACCUGAAGCAUCUGGCCCUGCAGCACUGCAGCUUCAUGAUGUUGGCGACCCUGGCUCUGAAGAAGCUGUUGCUGUAACAUCCACAACCAGACCUGAUGUUGCCAGAUCUGCUGCUGCUUUUGCCAUCAGUGUCCAGGAACAGUGCCACUUUUCACAGAGAACGGUCAACAGCGUCAUCUCAGGGGUGCAACAAUACCAAGCUGUUCUCCUGGAUACACUGAGGGAGAGGAUGAGAAGGGUCUUUGAAGAGCAUCCCGAGACGUCCACUCAACUUCAAGAUGUGGCUUUGGCUACAUUUGACACAUUCGUAGAUCCUUUCUGCACGACUGCAUAUGGACAGAAUAUGGCCAUUCAGGAACUAUUUAAUCCAGUCGACCCAGAAGAAGUAGUGGUGUCCCAGAAGAUUUGUUGGGUAAAACGAGGUCUUUCAAGGGUCAUGUCCAUAAGAAAUAGAAGUUUUUACUAUGUACCACUAAUUCAAAGUCUAAAGCAGUUAUUGACCAAUUCCAGAAUCUUCACCAUUUUCAACACUGUACCACAAAGAAGCAGAGAGGGAUUCUUUUAUGAUUUUAUUGAUGGGGCCCUCUUUACAUCUCACCCUUUAUUUUCUCGAAAACCAAAUGCAUUGCAAAUAAUACUGUACACAGAUGAAAUUGAAAUAUGUAACCCCGUAGGAUCACAUUCUUCUGCAAAUAAAUUGCUCAUGUUUUAUUAUAGUUUAGGUAAUAUUGAUCCAAAAUUUAGGUCAAAGUUGUCUGCAAUACGACUCCUUGCUAUUGCUAAGGCAAAUUAUAUUUCUCAAUGGGGUGUUGAUGUUGUACUAAAAAGAAUUAUUCAAGAUCUGACACUGCUUUACAAUGGUGUAAGGAUUGAAACGCCAAAUGGUGAAAUUGAGUUGUUUGGUGCUGUGAUAGCUGUAUGUGGAGACACGCUUGCCCAACAUGAGCUUGCUGGCUUUAAAGAAGGUGUCGGUUUUUCUCAUAGCAAAUGUAGACACUUGAGGAUAUGCAACAUAUUUUUGAAGAGAAUAAGUUUGUUAAAAGAACUUUGGAAAAGCACAUCAGGCAGUGUCUUAAAAUAGACAAAACAUGCCCAGAUUUCUUGAAAGCAUCCCUUAAAACCACUUAUGGAAUUAACAGAAGAAGCAGACUAGUUGAUGUCCUGGCAUUUGACCUGAUAUAAUGCACGUUAUUUUUGAAGGUGUCGCGCCAAUGGAAAUUAAGCUUGUAUUAAAACACCUUAUUCUGUCACGACAAAUGGAAUUAGAUGAGUUUAAUUCAGCCAUUCAAAAUUUUCCUUACCUCUUGAUAUACGGGAUAAACCUUGUCCUGUUAGUGCCAACACUCUAGCAGCUAAUGACAACAGAUUGAAACAGUCUAGUGGGCAGAUGCUAAUACUUUUAAAAAUACUACCUUUUCUUUUGGAUGGUGUGGACAACGAGUAUACUAAAUUUAUUUUGAAGUUGAUUGAGAUAGUACAGAUAGUCCUUGCUCCCAUUAUUUCUUUACAAACUGUAUUACGGCUCAAAAGUAUGAUUGAGCAACACCUGUAUCAGUUCAAACAACUUUUUCCUGAGGUCAGUGUAAUACCCAAGCAGCAUUACAUGUUGCAUCUUCCGAGUCAAAUCAUAUCCCUUGGUCCUUUAAUAAGGAGUAUGUGCAUGCGCUUUGAGGCAAAACACUGCUAUUUUAAGCAGUGGGCUUCUAAGUUACAUUUUAAAAAUGUUUGUGAAUCACUAGUCAACCACAAUCAGUUUCUUGAAAGUUGUCAGAAUGAAAUAGGCAUUGAGCAUCCAAUUUUUGCAAACGAAAGAGAAUCUGGGCCUGUGUCAGCUGUUACAAAUACUGAAUAUGUUAAGAGAAAAGUCAAAGAUUUUUUGGGAAUAGAGGUCAUGAAAUCUGUUGUCUCUGUGAAAUGGUAUAUCCUCAACGGUAAUAAGUAUGUCAGAGGGAAGUCUAUGAUUAUUGCAGAUGUGGAUGACACUUUGCCAGUGUUUGGAAUGAUCAAGGAUAUAUUUUUGAUUGAUUCCUCUUUUGUUGCUUUUGAGUACCAGCGCUAUGAAACUUUGAAUUUGAAUCAAGACUUGCUGCCUUAUGAAGUGGCAGUGCCCACUCUUGCACAGGCUACGGAAUUGGUACACAAGCUCACUGAUCACACUUCAUAUUUUUCUGUUGGUUUUAGAGAAAGUGUGUUUGUACCAAUAAAAUAUAGUCUUUCUGAUCUCAUUGCUCAGAGAAAUCAGCAUGAGGAUUAAGCAUGCACAUGUGUGGUUGAACAUAGGUAUCUGCCAAGCCCUGUUGAUGAACAUUGGUUAUCAGCAAAAAAAAAACAAAAAAAAACUUCUGUCAGUUGCUGAUGUGUAUCUGUUGUGCUACAUCAAUUUAAUGCUGGAAUGGAGCUAAUAGCUGAUUGUGAAAAAAAGAUUUCUACCGGUUUGUCAGUCACUGACAUAGUACAGUAAAUAAAAUAUGUGAAAAAAAUAAAAAUUACAAAGACAACAUGAAAUACAUACAGAAUCAGCUAACUAAAUAUUUUAAGCCUGUUGCAACGAUUGAAAAUGUGCAAUUGUAUCAUGAGUUGUGGGGAAGGUUGUAUGGUUUCUCUUCUGUGUUGUUUGGCCAUGUUUGAAGUCAGAGCCAUUCUAAUAAAUUGCAUUUUGAACAGA
This is a long non-coding RNA of Acanthochromis polyacanthus (spiny chromis), 3149 nucleotides long. RefSeq lists it as uncharacterized. The transcript is spliced from 3 exons. Lineage: Eukaryota; Metazoa; Chordata; Actinopteri; Pomacentridae. The record is from RefSeq and is a predicted model, not a curated record.